GACGAACGCUGGCGGCGUGCUUAACACAUGCAAGUCGAACGCUGAAGCGUGGUGCUUGCUCUGGGUGGAUGAGUGGCGAACGGGUGAGUAAUACGUGAGUAACCUGCCCUUGACUCUGGGAUAAGCCUGGGAAACUGGGUCUAAUACUGGAUACGACAUGUCACCGCAUGGUGGUGUGUGGAAAGGGUUUUACUGGUUUUGGAUGGGCUCACGGCCUAUCAGCUUGUUGGUGGGGUAAUGACUCACCAAGGCGACGACGGGUAGCCGGCCUGAGAGGGUGACCGGCCACACUGGGCCUGAGACACGGACCAGACUCCUACGGGCGGCAGCAGUGGGGAAUAUUGCACAAUGGGCGGAAGCCUGAUGCAGAGACGCCGCGUGAGGGAUGACGGCCUUCGGGUUGUAAACCUCUUUCAGCGCGGAAGAAGCGAUAGUGACGGUACGUGCAGAAGAAGCGCCGGCUAACUACGUG
Molecule: ribosomal RNA, 472 nt
Filed under: uncultured bacterium
Lineage: Bacteria
Description: partial 16S ribosomal RNA
Rfam family: Bacterial small subunit ribosomal RNA
Source: RNAcentral